CACAGUCCAACCGCAUCAGACAUAGAAACCUUUUUUCUCCACCAUCGCCUUCGGGUGGGAAUAAACAAGAGGAAACGGGUUGAGAAGAAGAGAGGAAAAAAAAUCCAUUGAGUCCUGGGAAGAAAAUGAGAGUGGCACCUGAUGAUGUCGACUUUGACACGUGUUAAUUGCUGCUCAGCUCUCCUCAUUAGGGAGUCUCAAAUUAUUUUAGCGCUCCAGGCCACAACGCCUUGUUUGCUUUGCUGAGGAGAGGAAGCAAUCUGGCCCAAACUUCAAAUGGAUUUUUGCUCCUCUGUCAAUAUCCCAAGACAAGAAGAUAUUUAUGUGAUGCAUCCUCGGCUUCAAUCUGCUGCUGCGUCCUCACCCUUCACCCACGCAGCUCUUUGUGGCAAACAAACACAGAUUCAGCCCAGCGUCUGGGAGCGCCGGCCCUCAUCCUCUCUGCUAGAUUACUUGUUACCUGUUGGCAUGUAUUUAUAUGGCCUUGCAUGGUGAAUUAUAAAGCCUUUGUUAUUGCCCUGGCUUGGGGUCGGCCACUUGUUUAUGACACCAGUAAUGGCGGUAAUUGUUACUGUUGAGAUUACCUGUCAAGAGGACCCAGGCGGCGAGCCUGGAGAAGGCG
Epinephelus lanceolatus (giant grouper) is the source of this 622-nucleotide long non-coding RNA. RefSeq lists it as uncharacterized. The record is from RefSeq and is a predicted model, not a curated record. NCBI's taxonomy places the organism in Eukaryota, Metazoa, Chordata, Actinopteri, Perciformes, Serranidae.